Molecule: ribosomal RNA, 245 nt
Filed under: uncultured Gemmatimonas sp.
Lineage: Bacteria; Pseudomonadati; Gemmatimonadota; Gemmatimonadia; Gemmatimonadales; Gemmatimonadaceae
Description: partial 16S ribosomal RNA
Rfam family: Bacterial small subunit ribosomal RNA
Source: RNAcentral
UACGGAGGGUGCGAGCGUUGUCCGGAAUCACUGGGCGUAAAGGGCGCGUAGGUGGCUCGUUAAGUGGUUGGUGAAAUCCCGGGGCUCAACUCCGGGGCUGCCAGCCAGACUGGCGGGCUAGAGCACGGUAGGGGCAGAUGGAAUUCCCGGUGUAGUGGUGGAAUGCGUAGAGAUCGGGAAGAACACCAGUGGCGAAGGCGUUCUGCUGGGCCGUUGCUGGCACUGAGGCGCGACAGCGUGGGGAG